AACGUAGGACGCAAGCGUUAUCCGGAGUUACUGGGCGUAAAGCGCGUGCAGGCGGCCCGUUCAGUCUGAGGUGAAAGCGCCCGGCUCAACCGGGCGAGGCCCUUGGAAACUGGCGGGCUGGAGGGCAGUAGAGGCAGGCGGAAUUCCGGGUGGAGUGGUGAAAUGCGUAGAGAUCCGGAGGAACACCGGUGGCGAAGGCGGGUCUCUGGGCCGAUACUGACGCUGAGGAGCGAAAGCGUGGGGAGCGAACAGG
Molecule: ribosomal RNA, 253 nt
Filed under: uncultured bacterium
Lineage: Bacteria
Description: partial 16S ribosomal RNA
Rfam family: Bacterial small subunit ribosomal RNA
Source: RNAcentral